CUACGGGGGGCUGCAGUGGGGAAUAUUGGACAAUGGGGGGAACCCUGAUCCAGCCAUGCCGCGUGUGUGAAGAAGGCCCUCGGGUUGUAAAGCACUUUCAGUGAGGAAGAACGCCUGGUGGUUAAUACCCAUCAGGAAAGACAUCACUCACAGAAGAAGCACCGGCUAACUCCGUGCCAGCAGCCGCGGUAAUACGGAGGGUGCGAGCGUUAAUCGGAAUUACUGGGCGUAAAGCGCGCGUAGGUGGCUUGAUAAGCCGGUUGUGAAAGCCCCGGGCUCAACCUGGGAACGGCAUCCGGAACUGUCAAGCUAGAGUGCAGGAGAGGAAGGUAGAAUUCCCGGUGUAGCGGUGAAAUGCGUAGAGAUCGGGAGGAAUACCAGUGGCGAAGGCGGCCUUCUGGACUGACACUGACACUGAGGUGCGAAAGCGUGGGUAGCAAACAGGAUUAGAUACCCGUGUAGUC
Molecule: ribosomal RNA, 464 nt
Filed under: Vreelandella stevensii
Lineage: Bacteria; Pseudomonadati; Pseudomonadota; Gammaproteobacteria; Oceanospirillales; Halomonadaceae
Description: partial 16S ribosomal RNA
Rfam family: Bacterial small subunit ribosomal RNA
Source: RNAcentral